Molecule: RNA transcript, 2300 nt
Organism: Cebus imitator (Panamanian white-faced capuchin)
Lineage: Eukaryota; Metazoa; Chordata; Mammalia; Primates; Cebidae
Exons: 1
Source: RefSeq, a predicted model, not a curated record
GUUUGGCAUGGUUGGGGCACCACGGCGGUGGCUGGGCGCGGAGUGUGAGUGGCCUGAGGGCCGCACAAGACAGCUGCAGGGCUUCUCCCUGCCUGAACUGGACGCUGUUCGAAAGCGCGCCCUCCACUCGCACUGCUUGUUGGGCUCAUCAUGAAGCGCUUGGGCUCCGUGCAGCGGAAAAUGCCGUGUGUGUUUGUGACGGAGGUAAAAGAGGAGCCUUCUGCCAAAAGGGACCAUCAGAUCAGCCAUACCUUUGGGCCCGACUAGAUAGAAAACCCAACAAACAAGCUGAAAAAAGAUUUAAAAAUUUUCUACAUUCAAAAGGAAACCCAAAAGAAUUUUUUUGGAACGUUGAGGAGGACUUCAAACCAGCUGCAGAGUGCUGGAUACCAGCCAAGGAAAUAGAACAAAUAAAUGCAAACCCAGUGCCUGAUGAAAAUGGACACAUUCCUGGUUGGGUACCAGUAGAAAAAAACAACAAACAGUAUUGCUGGCACUCCUGUGUAGUUAAUUAUGAACUUGAAAUUGCCCUGGUACUAAAACAUCAUCCUGAUGAUCCUGGACUUUUGGAAAUUAGUGCAGUGCCACUAUCAGAUCUCUUAGAACAAACACUGGAGCUCAUAGGAACAAAUAUCAAUGGAAACCCAUAUGGGUUAGGGAGCAAGAAACAUCCAUUACAUCUUCUUAUACCACAUGGAGCAUUUCAAAUAAGAAAUUUACCUUCAUUGAAGCACAAUCAUCUCUUGUCCUGGUUUGAAGGUUGCAAAGGGGGUAAAAUUGAAGGAAUAGUAUGGCAUUGCAGUGAUGGCUGUUUAAUAAAGGUCCAUCGCCAUCAUCUUGGCUUAUGCUGGCCAAUUCCAGAUACUUACAUGAAUUCAAGACCAGUUAUUAUCAACAUGAACCUGAACAAAUGUGACUCUGCCUUUGAUUUAAGUGUUUGUUUAAUCAUUUUUCAAAAAUAGAUAAUCAGAAAUUUGCUAGACUCAAAGAUAUAAUAUUUGAUGUAUAAAAUGCAAAUAAAAUAAGUUUAUUAUCGUUAUAUUCUAAUCUUGGAUAUUCUACCAUAUUUAAAAAUAUUUCAAGGUUUCUAUUCAUUAUGAAACAUCAAUUUGUCUUCCACCAUUUGUGAAGAAAUGAAUUUUCCAGUUUCAAAUACCUGUUCAAAAUUUUAUUCAAAACAAGCAAAUUAAUUUUAAUCUCUUGCCAUAAAAAUAUAAGUAACAGUGACCGCCUAAGCUUGUACAAAGGCUGGAGCUGGAUUCUCUCCUCUAUAACUGAGUGGCAAUUUAAAGGCAACAACUAAACCAACAACUUAAUGUCACUAAUUUUCAAAAUUAAAUAGUUGAAGCUCAAUUUGAUUUUGCUAGAUAUUUAACAGAACAUAUGGCUCAGCCUCAUAACCUAUAUGUCUAUAUGUCUAUACCUGUAUUUAUAUAUAUUAUAGUUAUGAUUUGAGAAUCUUAACACAUGUGUAAAUAAGUAUAUAUAAACUCCCAAUUUUAAAUAUUAAAAUUGCUGAAUUUACCCUCAUACUUUUUAAAAAAACUUAAUCAAAACAUUAUGAAUGUAGAGAAAUUCACCAGAGCUCAUUGCCUAUUUGAUGGCCCUAAUUUAUUCUAAGUCUUCAAAUAUAUACUUUUAUAAUAAGUUGAAAAUUUCAUAUAAUUUUGUUUAUUAAGAAUUCCAAUCUAAGUAUAAAGGUACAAGGUAGUGAGAAGGAAAUACUACAGUUCAGAGAAUUGCUUAUUUCCGGGUAGAUUUUAACUUAUGAAGUUAAUAAAUAGUUAAAUGAAAUGAAUAGGUGACCUUUAGUAAAUGGGGAAAUUAACAGGACUUUCUUCAUCUUCAAACUCUUCAGAAGCAGCAACAGGGCUAGUUAAUUCAACUCCCAAUUGUUCUGAAAGUUUUUUUACCUUCUCUUCUAGGAGAAUAUUCUUCUUUACUUCUGCCUUGUAAUUAUACUUAAGAUCUUCAAUUUCUUCGAAAAAUGAAGGAUCAAAAUUUUCCGGUUCUUUUUUCAGCUUUUUUAUUUCCUCCUAACAGAAACAUUAUCUUUAAAAGUUGCUUAUAGGAAAUAUACAUAUUUUAGAUUUGAACUAAGAUUAACUGUAAAUAUGAAAGCGAAAGUAUUCCUGAGUGGUCAGCUACAGCUAUAAAGGCAAGAAGAAUUAAGAUUUCUAUUUGUUCCAUUGUACAGUGUAAAUAACUGUUGUUAACUGUCAAGUCCAAUUAUCUAUUCUGCAAGUUGUGUUCUAGCCUUUGACUAAAAUUUAUCAUCUCUUAUAGUGGGAUUUAAUAUU